CCAGGUUGAUUCUGCCUGACGUAGACGCUAUUCCCUAAGAUUAACCCAUGCAUGUUUUUGACAUUUGAAAAAUGGACUGCUCAGUAAUACUCACUUUAUUUUAUGUAAAUUUUUAAUUAACUACGUUAAAGUGUAGAUAAGAUGUUUACAGUAAGAGUGAGACCUAUCAGCUAGUUGUUAAGGUAAUGGCUUAACAAGGCUGUGACGGGUAACGGUAUUACUUUGUAAUAUUCCGGAGAAGGAGCCUGAGAGACGGCUACUAAGUCUAAGGAUUGCAGCAGGGGCGAAACUUGACCUAUGGAUUUUAUCUGAGGCAGUUAUGGGAAGUAAUAUUAUAUUGUUUCAUAUUUUAAAAGUAUAUGAGGUGAUUAAUUGGAGGGCAAAUCAAGUGCCAGCAGCCGCGGUAAUACUUGUUCCAAGAGUGUGUAUGAUGAUUGAUGCAGUUAAAAAGUCCGUAGUUUAUUUUUUUAAGAAGCAAUAUGAGGUGUACUGUAUAGUUGGGAGAAAGAUGAAAUGUGACGACCCUGACUGGACGAACA
This 539-nucleotide ribosomal RNA is filed under the name Vairimorpha ceranae. Its description in RNAcentral is "SSU rRNA". It matches the Rfam family "Microsporidia small subunit ribosomal RNA", at positions 1 to 594 of the family's 1311-position model. The record is from RNAcentral. Lineage: Eukaryota; Fungi; Microsporidia; Nosematidae.